CUACUUGCCAGCAGCCGCGGUAAUACGUAGGGUGCGAGCGUUAAUCGGAAUUACUGGGCGUAAAGCGAGCGCAGACGGUUACUUAAGCAGGAUGUGAAAUCCCCGGGCUCAACCUGGGAACUGCGUUCUGAACUGGGUGACUAGAGUGUGUCAGAGGGAGGUAGAAUUCCACGUGUAGCAGUGAAAUGCGUAGAGAUGUGGAGGAAUACCGAUGGCGAAGGCAGCCUCCUGGGAUAACACUGACGUUCAUGCUCGAAAGCGUGGGUAGCAAACAGGAUUAGAUACCCUGGUAGUCCACGCCCUAAACGAUGUCAAUUAGCUGUUAGGCAACUUGAUUGCUUAGUAGCGUAGCUAACGCGUGAAAUUGACCGCCUGGGGAGUACGGUCGCAAGAUUAAAACUCAAAGGAAUUGACGGGGACCCGCACAAGCGGUGGAUGAUGUGGAUUAAUUCGAUGCAACGCGAAGAACCUUACCUGG
RNAcentral lists this ribosomal RNA (478 nucleotides) under uncultured bacterium. RNAcentral describes it as "bacterial SSU rRNA". It matches the Rfam family "Bacterial small subunit ribosomal RNA", at positions 501 to 978 of the family's 1533-position model. The record is from RNAcentral.